RNAcentral lists this long non-coding RNA (1294 nucleotides) under Manacus vitellinus (golden-collared manakin). RNAcentral describes it as "lncRNA (ENSMVIG00005007436.1)". Lineage: Eukaryota; Metazoa; Chordata; Aves; Passeriformes; Pipridae. The record is from RNAcentral.
UAUAGUUCCUGACCUAGCAAAGAGAAACUUUUCCUACUGUCAGGGCAAUUCUAGUAUAGUUACAUCUCUAUAAUUCACUAUGGGAAAAUUUAUUGCUGGACAGAAUAUGCCAAUGAAAAGUUAGAUGUCUAAAAUAACAACAGGAUGUUUAGAGCAUAUUAGUUCUACAAGGGAGGGCAUUAAACAGAAAUGUAACCAAAGAGCUGUUCUGUAGUUACUUGCUACAAACAAAUUCUUACUCCACACCAAAACACCAGAUAGCUCAUUGCAAGCGACUUUUACCAUCUUUAAUCUACCACCAUUUUGGCUUAUAAAAAGAAGUCAUCAUUUAUUUCUCUCUUUCACAGUAAGCCAUCUCUCAUUUAACAUGUGGUAAGAGUUUACAUGUGGACACUAUAACAAAGUUACAGGUGUGCUCUCAAGUUCACAUUGUCGUCCACUUUACAGGAAAUGAUUGUUUUCUGAUACCUAAAACAGAGGAGUCACUUGGCCACUUCUGUAAAAAGUGGUGGCCAAUCAAAGGCAGUUGCAAAAACUCUAAUCUAGAAAGCUGCUGCAGAAUAGAGUUAAUGGCUGUUGUUGAACCUGAAGAAGAAAGUAGACCAGGCAGGGAGCCUUGUUAAGAACACGAUCUUGGACAGUUGGUGGUUAAAGUUCAGUCCUCGAGAUUGAAUGGAGAUGGGUUACCCUUUUCUUUUUUUUUUGAGGAUGAUUGCAAUUAAGGGACCUUAGGGAGAAACUUAGGGGAAAACCAGGAGCUCUGACACAAUGCUGAGAAAUUAGAAUCAACAAGAAAUAUUUAUUUCAUACUUCAGGUGCCCGUGAAGUUUUGUUGCCAGUUGGCAUCUCAAACAUAAUAAUACCAAGCUGGAAAUGUGAGCUAUAGAGCAGUCAAAUUUUGGUGAGGUCAAGAAAGAAAAUAAGAGCCGGAUGAGGGCUUAUGUCUGAUGCUAUGCCAAAAGCCAAAAGACUGUGCAAGCACUGAGGCAAUCUUCUUCCUAUAAAUGGAUAUAUAAAGUUUUUCAGUAGAGAAAAAGAAAGAAGAAAACAACUGAAAAACAUGCCCAUGAAGUCACAAAAUUGAACAAAUGAUGUUUCUCAGAUAGCCUGGGACAAAUCUCUACAAUUCAUUUGACACUGUUAUCAAAUUGAAUUGCUUACUUCACCUGUUUUUAGUCUCUUGUGCUAUUCAGCCUUAUUGUUCCAGUCUGAAGACCUUCUGUUUUCUAUGAAAAAAUUAACAAAAUCACACAUAAUUUCAUUAUUGUAAUUAAAGGACUAUGCUGUUCUUCCC